Clupea harengus (Atlantic herring) is the source of this 1082-nucleotide long non-coding RNA. The record is from Ensembl. NCBI's taxonomy places the organism in Eukaryota, Metazoa, Chordata, Actinopteri, Clupeiformes, Clupeidae.
GCAAAUAUGAUUUCAGAUCGGUUACAUACGCUUCCACAGUUGUUCAUGACAUUACCCAUGUUUUUUAAAUUCAGUGUGUCACCUUCACGUAGGCUACGUGACAGACAUGAAUGAGAGAGGAUGGAGAGGCAGUAGUAGGUUUAUAACUGGCAGCAUCGUUUUUGGCUUCUCUCCCAGUUACAAAAGUGUCUACAAGUGUGAAGGCUCGGAUUGGCUCGUGCACGGAGUUAGUGGCACUCUUGCGGUCCACUCCCGCUCCGUCUCCAAGGGCUGUGUGCUCCUCCCUUCACAGCAGUGUAGAAACAACAUGGUAGCGCCUAUGCAUCGGCUGUGUAGUGCCAGCAAUGCAGAGGCUGUAAUUUUCGGGAGUGUAAUAGAACAUGGCUUAUGAACAGGUUGGCCGCGAUAGAAACUGAUAACCACAAAUUACUGGUUUCAUGUGACAAUACCGUUAUGUUGGUUUUGGUACCAUCAUGUGCAAAUGAAUUAGCUUGAUUAGACGCGACGAAACGUCUCCCCCAGGUCCUAGUGAGCGUAUGGAAUACCUGUGACCGUCACCUAAAACCGUAAGUUGGACGCACAAUCUGCGUGUCAUUUGAUGCAGUGUACUUUCGUUGUAUGUUUAUUUGUUCACAAUUUUUUAUUUUGUUUUACAUAUGGUAGUUGAGAUAGAUACGACAGCAUCCGUUUUAUGUCGUUGCUUGUAUAACCUCCCAUCUGUUUCACAUGGGGUCAAUUUUAAAUCGAUUUAGACUAUAGCCCACAUUUUAUUGGAUUUCCUAUUUGGUCACCUGCACAGGCAAAAUAAAGUCGAACUUUCUCUGACGACGUGACAUACCACCCGACAUUCGUAUUGAUUGUCCGUCUGUCGAGCUGUGCAGUUUACCAUUCACCGGUCAUCUGUCAGUAGCUUCAUCCCGAGCAUGGCGAGGGUUUUCACCUAGUCUGUCCUUAUUGUUGUCAGACAAUCUAAUGACUGGUAUUGAGUAAUCGGCAUACGUUUCACACUAAAAAAAAACAAACAAACUGUUUGCUCUUCGUAGUUUCCUGUUAUUGCAGUCAGGCGUUCUCACUGAUGUAUG